Molecule: transfer RNA, 63 nt
Filed under: Physopelta slanbuschii
Lineage: Eukaryota; Metazoa; Arthropoda; Insecta; Hemiptera; Largidae
Description: tRNA-Glu
Source: RNAcentral
AUUUAUGUAGUUUAAUUAAAACAUUCUAUUUUCAAUGGAAAAAUAAUAAAUAAUUCAUAAAUA